Molecule: small nucleolar RNA, 213 nt
Filed under: Setaria italica (foxtail millet)
Lineage: Eukaryota; Viridiplantae; Streptophyta; Magnoliopsida; Poales; Poaceae
Also listed under: 1 other name
Description: snoRNA Plant_U3
Rfam family: Plant small nucleolar RNA U3
About the family: Small nucleolar RNAs (snoRNAs) are involved in the processing and modification of rRNA in the nucleolus. There are two main classes of snoRNAs: the box C/D class, and the box H/ACA class.
Source: Rfam by way of RNAcentral
ACAUCCUUGCUUGAACAGGAAUUGUUAUAUAGGAUUGUACCACUGCAUCCUUUACCACAAAGGUGGCAAGCACUUCAGUGUGGUUGAGGAGCCACGACCUCUAAGCCAGAGCGUGACAGACAGGAUGGUUUGGUUGUUGCCAUCCAAUGGCAGUAGAGGACCGUCCCUGCCAGGUUUAAGCCUGGUCAGGAUGGCUCAGACGUCUGAUAGACC